GUUCGAUCCUGGCUCCAGAUUGAACGCUGGCGGAGGAUGCUUUACACAUACUGCAAGUCGAACGCUUGGCAGCACGGACUUCGGUCUGGUGGCGGCGAUGGCGAACAGGUGGUAAUGUAUCGGAACGUGCCUAGUAGCUGAGGAUAACUACGCGAAAGCGUAGCUAAUACCGCAUACGCCCUUCAGAAGAAAGCAAGGGGACCUUCAGACCUCACUAUUAGAGCGGCCGAUAUCGGAUUGGCUGGUUGGUGGGGUAACGGCUCACCAAGGCGACGUCCAUCGCUGGUUUGGAGGACGACCAAUACUGGGACUGAGACACAGCCCAGACUCCUGAGGAGGCAGCAGUGCAGAAUUUUGGACAGUAAGGGAAACCACUGAUCCAGCCAUCCGCGUGUGCGAUGAAGGCCUUCAGGUUGUAAAAGCACUUUUGGCAGGAAAGCAGCUCAGGAUAAUACCCGUGCCAGCUGACAAACACCUGCAGAAUAAGCCUGCCGGCUAACUGCGUGCCAGCAGCCGCGGUAAUACGUAGGGUGCUGCAAGCGUUAAUCAGGAAUUACUGGGCGUAAAGCGUACCCGAGUGGUUCGGAAAAGAAAGAUGUUGAAAUCCCGAAACUUGUUUGGAACUGCAUUUUUAACUACCGAGCUAGAAGUGUGUCAGAGGGAGGUGGAAUUCCGCGUGCUUGAAGUGAAAUGCGUAGAUAUGCGGAGGAACACCGAUGGCGAAGGCAGCACUGGGAUAACACUGACGCUCGUACACAACGUGGGAGCAAGCAGGAUUAGAUCCCUGGUAGUCCACGCCUAAACAGUAUCAACUAGCUGUUGGGCCUUCGGGCCUUGGUAAAAACGGCUAACGCGUGAAGUUGACCGCCUGGGGAGGCUACAGUCGCAAGAUUAAAACUCAAAGGAAUUGACGGGGACCCGCACAAGCGGUGGAUGAUGUGCAUUAAUUCAGUGCAACGCGAAAACCUUACCUACCUUGACGUAUCUGGAAUCCCGAGAUUUGGGAGU
RNAcentral lists this unclassified non-coding RNA (1008 nucleotides) under uncultured Bordetella sp. RNAcentral's name for it is "partial 16S-23S ribosomal RNA intergenic spacer". It matches the Rfam family "Bacterial small subunit ribosomal RNA", at positions 11 to 1015 of the family's 1533-position model. The record is from RNAcentral. Lineage: Bacteria; Pseudomonadati; Pseudomonadota; Betaproteobacteria; Burkholderiales; Alcaligenaceae.